GUCCACGCCCUAAACGAUGAUAACUCGAUGUUGGCGAUAUACAGUCAGCGUCCAAGCGAAGCGUUAAGUUAUCCACCUGGGAGUACGCCCGCAAGGGUGAACUCAAAGGAAUUGACGGGGCCCGCACAAGCGGAGGAGCAUGUGGUUUAAUUCGAUGAUACGCGAGGAACCUUACCCGGGCUUGAAAGUUAGUGAAUCAUUUAGAGAUAGAUGAGUCCGCAAGGACACGAAACUAGGUGCUGCAUGGCUGUCGU
RNAcentral lists this ribosomal RNA (254 nucleotides) under uncultured bacterium. RNAcentral's name for it is "partial 16S ribosomal RNA". It matches the Rfam family "Bacterial small subunit ribosomal RNA", at positions 793 to 1055 of the family's 1533-position model. The record is from RNAcentral.